Molecule: ribosomal RNA, 303 nt
Filed under: uncultured bacterium
Lineage: Bacteria
Description: bacterial SSU rRNA
Rfam family: Bacterial small subunit ribosomal RNA
Source: RNAcentral
UGGGGAAUAUUGCACAAUGGGGGAAACCCUGAUGCAGCGACGCCGCGUGAGUGAAGAAGUAUUUCGGUACGUAAAGCUCUAUCAGCAGGGAAGAAAAUGACGGUACCUGACUAAGAAGCCCCGGCUAACUACGUGCCAGCAGCCGCGGUAAUACGUAGGGGGCAAGCGUUAUCCGGAUUUACUGGGUGUAAAGGGAGCGUAGACGGCAGCGCAAGUCUGAAGUGAAAUCCCAUGGCUUAACCAUGGAACUGCUUUGGAAACUGUGCAGCUGGAGUGCAGGAGAGGUAAGCGGAAUUCCUAGUG